UACAGAGGUCUCGAGCGUUAGGCGGAAUCACUGGGCUUAAAGCGUGUGUAGGCGGAUCGUUAAGUGCCUUGUGAAAUCCCACGGCUCAACUGUGGAACUGCUUGGCAUACUGGCGGUCUUGAGCAACCUAGGGGCGAGCGGAACAAAUGGUGGAGCGGUGAAAUGCGUAGAUAUCAUUUGGAACGCCAAUGGUGAAAACAGCUCGCUGGGGGUUUGCUGACGCUGAGACACGAAAGCCAGGGGAGCAAACGGG
RNAcentral lists this ribosomal RNA (253 nucleotides) under uncultured bacterium. RNAcentral describes it as "partial 16S ribosomal RNA". It matches the Rfam family "Bacterial small subunit ribosomal RNA", at positions 524 to 776 of the family's 1533-position model. The record is from RNAcentral.